UUAUAAAGGAUAACCUUCUAACCUAUCAAUCAGGCUUUUUAAGAGGCGUCGUGAAAAGUGUUAAUCCGAGAUUGUCAGUUUGAUACCUGGUGGCCACCAGGUAGCAAAUUUUUCUCACCAAGUUUGAGCUUUUAGUAUAGGAAGAAUGCUCGCAUUUCAUAGCAUAUUAAUCUAUAGUUAAUCCGCGAAGCGCGUGAAUACGGGCGGAAAUCUCUAACUAAUCGCGCCAACCUUAAUCCGCCUAAUCCGUCCUAAUCCGCGCGAUGUUUCCAUAUGCGACGGAUUAAGCCUUAAUCCGCGACUUUUAAUCCAAGUGGAAACACCCCCUUAUUAGCAUUAAUACAUUUCUUCAUUUCUAAGAUCUAAUAAUCGUUUUAUCCAACUUAUGCACAAAUCUACUUCAAAAUUUGCAAAUUCAUGUAAAUGCCAAGGGGCCCAUCAUCAAACCUACAUCCACUUGACACGUUUAAACCACACAACCACCAAACACCCCCACCGAACAAACCAUCAGGAUCCUCCCCUUCGCCAUGCAUGUGCCAUCAGGAUAAUACUAACAAAAGUGAUAGUGGGCCGAGGAAAGGAACUCUUGCCAGUUUAAAUGGAGGGGACUAAUGGCACAACUCGACUGUAAUCACCAAUUCAGAUGCUUAAUUCUCCAUACUGACAUUCUUCUUUGACUUCGUCAAUUGCUUGUACUUUUCUGUAGCAACAACUAGCAAUGUGUGGGCAACUUGCACUAUCAGACCAAUGCAAUAGAACAAACCGCUUUUAUACUUGAAAAGCCACACAGCCCACAUGCUUGCAAAUGCCAGCAGAUGAAACUUUUUGCCUAAAACUUUCCAGGAACAGGGGGCAGGAGAGGGGGUAAGGUGCGGGGAAGUGGGGCGGCAGCCCCACGACCCCGCACAUUACCCCCAAGACCACCUGGCCACCGACAGGCAAUCAUGAUAGGGAUGAGCGGGAGCCAAAGGAAACAUUUCAAAGCAGUAUGGCCUCUAGUGCGCCCCUUAUUCCCCAGCCACAUUGCCACUAUGAUAGCCGCGCCUCUUUUCCGACCAUGUGUGGGGGCAGCAGUGUAGACGGCGCCUACACUUUCCCUGUAUCUCCAAAGCGUAACACAGGAGCAACACGAUAGUUCUAGUACGUGAUUUGUUCAAGUGCUUGGAUUC
Molecule: long non-coding RNA, 1169 nt
Filed under: Volvox carteri
Lineage: Eukaryota; Viridiplantae; Chlorophyta; Chlorophyceae; Chlamydomonadales; Volvocaceae
Description: long non-coding RNA (VCAR_LNC000342)
Source: RNAcentral